GGCCGGUUAGCUCAGCUGGUUAGAGCGUGGUGCUAAUAACGCCAAGGUCGCUGGUUCAAUCCCCGUACUGGUGA
This 74-nucleotide transfer RNA is filed under the name Danio rerio (zebrafish). It matches the Rfam family "tRNA". From Rfam's summary of the family: Transfer RNA (tRNA) molecules are approximately 80 nucleotides in length. Their secondary structure includes four short double-helical elements and three loops (D, anti-codon, and T loops). Further hydrogen bonds mediate the characteristic L-shaped molecular structure. tRNAs have two regions of fundamental functional importance: the anti-codon, which is responsible for specific mRNA codon recognition, and the 3' end, to which the tRNAs corresponding amino acid is attached (by aminoacyl-tRNA synthetases). tRNAs cope with the degeneracy of the genetic code in two manners: having more than one tRNA (with a specific anti-codon) for a particular amino acid; and 'wobble' base-pairing, i.e. permitting non-standard base-pairing at the 3rd anti-codon position. Lineage: Eukaryota; Metazoa; Chordata; Actinopteri; Cypriniformes; Danionidae. The record is from Rfam by way of RNAcentral.